Long non-coding RNA from Ictalurus punctatus (channel catfish), 2404 nucleotides. RefSeq lists it as uncharacterized. The transcript is spliced from 3 exons. Lineage: Eukaryota; Metazoa; Chordata; Actinopteri; Siluriformes; Ictaluridae. The record is from RefSeq and is a predicted model, not a curated record.
AAUAAUAAUAAAUCAUCUCAAAUUACUCUCUAUGGGUCUUCAAAAAACAUGACAUUUCUAAGACAAAGAUCUAAGAAUUUUUUAAAUCUUGGGUGAUUCAAAUUCUUUUUUGAAAAUAGUAAACCAGGGUAUGGACUUCAUGUAUUUCGACUUGUUUAUAAAAAAAAAAUUCUCAGAAGAAAGACAUUCUGCCAAGAAUUUUUGUCUUCCAAUAAAAUGGGUAUACGUUUUGUAUCUAGCAGUAAGACAUUCAAACAAAAGUCAGAUUAAAAAGAAUUUUUUUUUUCAUAAAAUGUAUUAUAAUCAAUAUAUAUAUAUUUCUUUUUUAACAAACCAUUCGUAUUAUCCACAUUUUGAAGUCUUUAAAACGAAACUAAGGUUUGUGUACACAGUCCGUCAUUUUGUACUUUCAUGAUCAUUAAAUAAAUGCAAAAUUGAGUUCACAUCUCAACGGUUACCUAAAAGAACCGGUUCAAAGAGUCGAUUCAUUAUCGAAUCAAAUGUCACAAUUGCAGUCACAUUCGACUAAAAGAACCGAAUCUACAAGUGAAUGUGUCGAUUCUAAGAUCCAAAGUUGAUGAACUUAAUGAAUUCAAACGUCACUAAUUAACUCACUCACUCAACAGCAGCUACGUUAGGCUAGCAUGAGUUUGCUGAUAAAUAUGCUAGGCUAAUAAGCUAUAUAACUCGUGUCAGAUAUAUAAAUAUAUACAUGUUAUGUAGUCUCAUUUCACGGAUUUUUUUUUCCCCUCAGUAAUUUGUUGCUUAUUACACGAGCCGAGGUCUUAAAUUCAUGAAAACGGAUCAAAGUGGAAAGCCCGGAAGUUGCACUUGCUAAGUUAGCCGAAGAUACUACACAGCAAACACGGCUCUUUUCCAGAAAGAAGAGCUCGAGGCUCUGGAGCCCGCUGGUCUCUGGCACUCGGAGCCUCCGUGGCAGACAUGUUGAAGAUGCGUUCAGGCGCCGGGGGUCGAGGGCCUCUACCUUCGGCUCGUCCGCUCCGGAAACCGACGCAGUCCUACGUGUGCUGCUUCCACACCUCAGAUCCAUCAGAUUGUGAGGUAAAGGCAUCUCCCGUGCACGGCCCACAGUAUUUCAGUUGGAUUCAGGUCUGGGCUUUGGCUGGGUCCUUCAGAAACAUGGAUCUUCUUUCCGUCAAGCCGUUCCGUUUGUUGAUUUGGAUGCCUGCUUUGGGUCGUCGUCGUGCUGAAAGGUGAAAUUCCUUUUCAUCUUCAGCUUUCUAGCAGACACCUGAAUGUUUUGCACUAAAAUCGACUGGUAUCUGUAGCUAUUCAUGAUUCCCUCCACCUUGAUUAAAAGCCCCAGUUCUGACCGAGAAAAAGCAGCCCUAAAGCGUGAUGCUGCCACCACCAUGUUUCACCCUGGGUAUGGCGUUCUUUUGGUGUGCGCUUUUUAAAAAAAAAAAUUUUUUUUUAUGCUGAUUUGUUUUGUUUCCAAGGUCACCGUGUCUUUACAAUGCCAUGUUAGCUAUAAUAAUAUUUUUUGUAAAAGUUCUAUUUUAAAUGUAUAAAUAGAAUAAAGAAUGUAUUUCAUGAAUUUAAAGAAUUAGACGUGUAGAAAAGUGAAAUAAGUAAAUGAAGCAAAAGUCAAGCCACGAAAAUGAUCAAAUAAAUUGUUGUAAUGGUUAAUUUUACCGCUCUAAGCCUAUAAAAUCUUUCUUGCGCCGUGUGCAUGUUUUGGCAGCACACCGCUAACCAAAGCCAGCGCGAUUAAUGCUAAUAAAAAAUUCCCUUCUGCAGACUUGUUUACAAAUCGAGCAGCCUAAACAAAUUUUUUUUUUUCACCGAGUUUUUGGCUGUACCUGCCGAAGGGGGGAGGGGGGGGGCAACCUUCUUGUGUCUGCACACCAGCAGUACUUUAAUUUAAAACAGUCCGUUUUCUGGAGCAGGCCAGGAUCUUCAUCUUCUCCGCCACACGCUCCAGAUCCCGAGCGCAUAAACACACACACAACCUCAAAUCUGUGUUAAUGUGAGUCCAGCUUGGACGGAUUAGGAUGAAAUAACUGUAGCGUUAACACUGGUGAUUUUACUGGCCCAUUGUGCCUGGUGGGUGUUCUAGCAAUAAAUACACCCAUGUCAUAUUAUGGCUCUUAAAUAGCUAAUAAGCGAAAAGGUGUGGUGUGUGUGUGUGUGUGUGUGUGUUUUUUUUUUUUAACUCCACACACACUGAGGCUUGCUGUUUAAAGCAGUAAAGCAGCGCAAUAAAGAUUCUUUAAGACAUUACAUUUGUGAUGAACCACUGCGGGGGUUUUUUCCCCCCAUCGUGAACCCGAUGGCUUUGCCGGGUUCGGUGUUAAUAAAGUCAAGUCCCUGACCCUCGACAAACUCUGAUCUGUCUUUAACAAACUCCACAAACUACUUGAGCACCCUGCUGAUCAUCUGC